Molecule: ribosomal RNA, 480 nt
Filed under: Riseveinus sinensis
Lineage: Eukaryota; Metazoa; Arthropoda; Insecta; Hemiptera; Cicadellidae
Description: partial large subunit ribosomal RNA
Source: RNAcentral
UUCUUUAAGAUGAUUUUUAAAGUAGUUCCUGCUCAAUGAUUAUUUAAAUAGCUGCCGUAAUUUGACUGUACAAAGGUAGCAUAAUAAUUAGUUUUUUAAUUGAGAACUAGAAUGAAUGGAUUUAUGAGAUAUAAAUUUUAUUAAUUUUAUUUUUAAAAUUUAAUUUUUAAGUAAAAAAGCUUAUAUUUUUAUUUGGGACGAAAAGACCCUAUAGAACUUUUUGUAAGUAUUCAAAGUUUAGUCAAAAAUGUUGAUUGUAUAUAUUUUAUUGGGGUGAUAAAUAAAUUUUUACUUUAUUUUUUUUUAUUCAUUAAUUUAUGUUAAUUUUGAUCCAUUUUAGGGAUUAUAAGUUUAAGUUACCUUAGGGAUAACAGCGUAAUUUUAAUGGGGAGUUCUUAUUUAUAUUAGAGUUUGCGACCUCGAUGUUGAAUUAAGAAAAGCAUAAGGGGUAGGUCUUAUAGUCUAAGUCUUCGAAUUUCC